This 303-nucleotide ribosomal RNA is filed under the name uncultured bacterium. RNAcentral describes it as "partial 16S ribosomal RNA". It matches the Rfam family "Bacterial small subunit ribosomal RNA", at positions 507 to 807 of the family's 1533-position model. The record is from RNAcentral.
AGCAGCAGCCACGGGAACACGGAGGGUGCAAGCGUUAAUCGGAAUUACUGGGCGUAAAGCGCACGCAGGCGGUCUGACAAGUCAGAUGUGAAAUCCCCGGGCUUAACCUGGGAACUGCAUUUGAAACUGUCAGGCUGGAGUCUUGUAGAGGGGGGUAGAAUUCCAGGUGUAGCGGUGAAAUGCGUAGAGAUCUGGAGGAAUACCGGUGGCGAAGGCGGCCCCCUGGACAAAGACUGACGCUCAGGUGCGAAAGCGUGGGGAGCAAACAGGAUUAGAUACCCCUGUAGUCCCUGUCUCUUAUAC